Molecule: transfer RNA, 91 nt
Filed under: Candidatus Omnitrophota bacterium
Lineage: Bacteria; Pseudomonadati; Candidatus Omnitrophota
Description: tRNA-Ser
Rfam family: tRNA
About the family: Transfer RNA (tRNA) molecules are approximately 80 nucleotides in length.
Source: RNAcentral
GGAGAGGUGGCUGAGCGGCUGAAAGCGGCUCCCUGCUAAGGAGUCGGCCCUAUUGCUGGGCCCCUGGGUUCAAAUCCCAGCCUCUCCGCCA